Molecule: ribosomal RNA, 523 nt
Filed under: uncultured bacterium
Lineage: Bacteria
Description: bacterial SSU rRNA
Rfam family: Bacterial small subunit ribosomal RNA
Source: RNAcentral
AUACGGAGGGUGCGAGCGUUAAUCGGAAUUACUGGGCGUAAAGCGCACGCAGGCGGUUUGUUAAGCUAGAUGUGAAAGCCCCGGGCUCAACCUGGGAUGGUCAUUUAGAACUGGCAGACUAGAGUCUUGGAGAGGGGAGUGGAAUUCCAGGUGUAGCGGUGAAAUGCGUAGAUAUCAGGAAGAACACCGGUGGCGAAGGCGGGUCUCUGGGCAACUACUGACGCUGAGGAGCGAAAGCGUGGGGAGCAAACAGGAUUAGAUACCCUGGUAGUCCACGCCGUAAACGGUGGGCGCUAGGUGUGGGGAACAUUCCACGUUCUCCGUGCCGCAGCUAACGCAUUAAGCGCCCCGCCUGGGGAGUACGGCCGCAAGGCUAAAACUCAAAGGAAUUGACGGGGCCCGCACAAGCGGUGGAGUAUGUGGUUUAAUUCGAAGCAACGCGCAGAACCUUACCAACCCUUGACAUCCUAGGACAACUCCAGAGAUGGAGCCUUCCUUCGGGACCUAGUGACAGGUGCUGCAU